AAAAACAUUGCUUUAUGGCCACCCGUAUAAAGUACGCCCUGCCCGGUGAGCUACGCGCUUAAACGGCCGCGGUACCAUGACCGUGCAAAGGUAGCAUAAUCAUUUGCCUUUUAAUUGUAGGCUAGGAUGAAUGGGUAAACGAAGGAGUGCUUGUCUCUUUUUUUAAAAUUUAAAUUAACCCUCAGGUGAAGAUGCCUGAAUAACAUAAAAAGACAAAAAGACCCUAUUGAGUUUUAUACACAAACUGAUAUACCAAUAACAUGCUUAUAAAGGCAUAUACACUUUUCUAUUUAGUUGGGGCAACUAAGGAACACCUAGACCUUCCUUCACCUUAUAAGAUAUUAAUCAUUAGAUCCACAUUAUGUGAACAGAGAACAACACUACCAUAGGGAUAACAGGCUAAUUUCUUCAGAGAGUUCAUAUUGACGAAGAAGUUUGGCACCUCGAUGUUGGCUUAGGAUAUCCCUCCUGUGCAGCAGCAGGAAAGGUUGGUUUG
This 496-nucleotide ribosomal RNA is filed under the name Gyptis propinqua. RNAcentral's name for it is "partial 16S ribosomal RNA". It matches the Rfam family "Bacterial large subunit ribosomal RNA", at positions 1809 to 2579 of the family's 2925-position model. Lineage: Eukaryota; Metazoa; Annelida; Polychaeta; Phyllodocida; Hesionidae. The record is from RNAcentral.